RNAcentral lists this transfer RNA (88 nucleotides) under Helicobacter pylori. RNAcentral describes it as "tRNA-Ser". It matches the Rfam family "tRNA". From Rfam's summary of the family: Transfer RNA (tRNA) molecules are approximately 80 nucleotides in length. Their secondary structure includes four short double-helical elements and three loops (D, anti-codon, and T loops). The record is from RNAcentral. RNAcentral also lists the same sequence under 2 other names. Lineage: Bacteria; Pseudomonadati; Campylobacterota; Epsilonproteobacteria; Campylobacterales; Helicobacteraceae.
CGGGAGAUGGCUGAGUGGUUGAAAGCGACGGUCUUGAAAACCGUUGAGGGUCAUACCUCCGGGGGUUCGAAUCCCUCUCUCCCGGCCA